GAUGGACGCUGGCGGCGUGCUUAACACAUGCAAGUCGAACGGAAAGGCUCCUGCUUGCAGGGGCACUCGAGUGGCGAACGGGUGAGUAACACGUGGGUGAUCUGCCCUGCACUUCGGGAUAAGCCUGGGAAACUGGGUCUAAUACCGGAUAGGACCAUCGUUUAGUGUCGGUGGUGGAAAGUUUUUUCGGUGUGGGAUGAGCUCGCGGCCUAUCAGCUUGUUGGUGGGGUAAUGGCCUACCAAGGCGUCGACGGGUAGCCGGCCUGAGAGGGUGUACGGCCACAUUGGGACUGAGAUACGGCCCAGACUCCUACGGGAGGCAGCAGUGGGGAAUAUUGCACAAUGGGCGCAAGCCUGAUGCAGCGACGCCGCGUGGGGGAUGACGGCCUUCGGGUUGUAAACUCCUUUCGCCAGGGACGAAGCGAAAGUGACGGUACCUGGAUAAGAAGCACCGGCUAACUACGUG
This 466-nucleotide ribosomal RNA is filed under the name uncultured bacterium. RNAcentral's name for it is "partial 16S ribosomal RNA". It matches the Rfam family "Bacterial small subunit ribosomal RNA", at positions 28 to 507 of the family's 1533-position model. The record is from RNAcentral.